This 3058-nucleotide long non-coding RNA is filed under the name Homo sapiens (human). RNAcentral describes it as "non-protein coding lnc-PAK5-2:1". The record is from RNAcentral. Lineage: Eukaryota; Metazoa; Chordata; Mammalia; Primates; Hominidae.
AGACACUGGCUCUUAGAUGUUCCAUCUGGGGGACUUAGCCAUCGUGCUAUGAGAAGCCCAAGUCACAGAGAGAGGCCACAGGGAUACUAUGGUCAGUGAGGCCCAGCGGAGCUCCCAGCGUUCAGCCAGCAUCCACUGCCAGCAUAUGCUAUUAAGAAAGAACAUUCAUGAUUUAUGGGAAGAGGUAAAAAUAUCAACGUUCAUAGGAGUUUGGGAGACUCCCAUGGAUGACGCUGAGAGGUUCAAGACUUCAGUGGAGGAAGUCACUGCAGAGGUGGUAGAAAGAGUAAGAGAACUAGAAUUUGAAAAGGAGCCUGAACAUGGGGCUGAAUUGCUGCAAUUUCAUGAUAAAACUUAAACCGAUGAGGAGUUGUUUCUUGUGAAUGAGCAAAGAAGGUGGUUUCUUGAGAUGGAAUCUACUCCAGGUAAAGAUACUGUGAGCAUUGUUGAAAUGACAACACAGGAUUUAAAAUAUUACAUAAACCUAGUUGAGAAGGCAUCACAGCAGGGUUUGAGAGGAUUGGCUUCAAUUUUGAAAGAAGCUCUGCUCUGGGUAAAGUGUCAUCAAAUGGCACUGCAUGCUACAGAGAAAUCUUUUGUGAAAAGAAGGGUCAAUUGAUGCAGCAAACUUCAUUGUUGUCUUAUUUUAAAAAAUUACCACAGCCAACCCAAUCUUUGGCAACUGCCUCCCUGAUCACUCAAGGCAAGACCCUCCACAAAAAGAUUUCAAUAUGAUGCAGGUUUAGAUAAUUGUCAGCAUUUUUAAGCAAUAGGUAUUUUUUAAUUAAGUUACAUUUUUGGACAUAAUGCUGUUAUUGAACACUUACUAGCCUACAGUACAGUGUAAAUAAUUUCUGUAUGCAUUGGGAAACAAAAAUUCUUGUGAAUAAUUUUUUUGCAAUAUUUACUUCAUUGUAGUGGUCUAGAACUGAAUCUGCAAUAUUUCCAAGGUAUGCCUGUAUAUAAAUCCAAGGCAUUGUAUAACCAACACAAGUCCUUGUCAUUUCGUUCAUCAAUUCUCAUGAAACAUAACAAACAAAUAAUUCUCUAAAAUCAUCCCCAAACUCUCAAAUGACCCAUUUACAACUGAACAUUAUGAUUGUUGCUAUGUGAUCAAAGUAAAAGAGAAGGUAAUAGCACAUACUCAAAUAUUUUAAGCAAGACUGCCUUCUUAAAAUUAUCUAGCUACACAGAGAUAAUUCUGGUGAGCUGGUUAUUUGAAGGAAUUUGAACUUGAAAUUUUAAUACUGGCUUUUAGUUUCUAGUUCACUUUGUGGAGACAAACCAAUCAUUUGCCUGAGGGUCUCUUAAAUUAUUUGCCUCUCUACUCUCAUCAUUAACAGACUCAAGUUCAUGUUUUUGUCUAUACAAAGGGAUUACAAAAUGUGCCUUAUAUUGCUUCCUCUGCCUACUACAGCAAGUGCUUCAGGGAUUCUCUGGCUAAGAAUUUCUGCUGAAUAGCUGAAUGGCCAAUAGGAAGGGAGAUGACAAGGCCAUUAAAAUUUAGUAGCCAGAAAAAAUGGGAAGUGUUUGGCAAAAUACCAAGAAUACCAAAAUAUUACUAUGAGGAAUUAAAACGGCAUUAUUAUAUAAAAGGGUCUUCUGAAAGAAAUUCCUGGUUUUCUUACUCAUUUAUUUUUGAAACAAGGCCUCAGUCUGUUGUCCAGCCUGGAGUGCAGUGGUAGGAUUACAUAUAGCUCACUGCAGCCUUGAACCUCUGGGCUCAAGGGAUCCUACUGCCUCAGCCUCCCCAGUAGCUGGGACUACAGACACAGGCCACCACGUCUGGCUAAUAUUUUAUUUUUUGUAGACAUGGGGUCUCAUCUCUACGAAAAUGUUGCCCAGGCUGGUCUUGAACUCCUGGGCUCAAGCAAUCCUCCCACCUUGGCCUCCCCAAGUGCUGGGAUUAUGGGCUUGAGCCACUGUGCCCAGCCUGGUUUUCUUAUUUAAAAAGUAUUUUCAAAGCAUGUAACUUAAAAUAAAAGCAAACAGCUCACCACUUUCGAUCUCCUCUUCAUUAUCGUCCUCUAAGAUGUUUGCUGGGGAGGCAGAUUCUCCAGCUUCCAUCAUGCUUCUCAAAGCUUCCAGCUGUUCUGUUAGCAAAAACACGCAAAGAGAUGGUGACAGAUGCUAGGUAACAUACAAACCCUAGGCCUUGAGAUCGACACUGAGGAGGACGUGAAAAGAGAGAAGAAAUAGAAUGUUCAGGCACCAAGGCACCAUGUUUCUAAGGUUCAGCAGUGAUCUCUCUCUCGCCAUUUCCUGGUGGUCUCGACCUUGUAAGAAACCUGCAACAACCACCUUAUAUACACAUGAUGAAGAAUUGCGGGGACAUGGGUGAAAUGCCCAAAAUUCUGGUCACCAAGUUUGAGAGGAGGUUCAGUCCUCGUGAAGGAUUUAAGGCUAGAUAACAAAAGCCCAUAAUUUGGAGAAUCUGGCACAGACCAAGGUUUACGAACAGUUAUGGGGAACUGAUAGAAAAUAGGCAGGUUGGCAACAAAACUUCAGGAAAAAAUAUUUGCAACUGAUUUAAUGGGGAUUAUAUCCUACUAUACAAAAUAAGACUAAAUAAUUUUUCUAUAAGUCAGAAAGAUAAAGGUAAACAAAAUAAUAAAAAUGGGAAAACACAUAGGGACAAACCACAAAUAGUAAUAUGCAAAAAAGGAGUUAUUGAAGACACACAAAUAAAAAAACCCCUAAGGUACCAAUUUUUUUCUAUGAGUUGGACACACAUUUAAAAAUGGCCAACAGCCAGCAUUAAGGAUAUUGGUGGGAAACAGGCACUCUCAUAUAUGACUGGUGAAGAGUCUAAGGUGGUAGAACUUUCCUAAAAGAAAGCAUAACAAACUAUAUCACAAUAUAAAAUAUAUAUACGUUUUGGCUGAAUAACUCUAAUUGCACCAAUUGAUUUCAAGGAGAGGGUUGCACAAACAUACAAAAUAACAUUCAAGCAUGUUUAUAGUAGUGAAAAUCCAUCAACUUGGGACUCGUUACAUCAUGCUAUAAUAAAUGCAUACAAUUCUAUGUCAUAUAUAUUAAAUUCUAUAUAGUGUUUCAU